RNAcentral lists this ribosomal RNA (451 nucleotides) under uncultured bacterium. RNAcentral describes it as "bacterial SSU rRNA". It matches the Rfam family "Bacterial small subunit ribosomal RNA", at positions 354 to 796 of the family's 1533-position model. The record is from RNAcentral.
GUGAGGAAUAUUGCGCAAUGGGGGAAACCCUGACGCAGCGAUGCCGCGUGAGUGAAGAAGGCCCUCGGGUCGUAAAGCUCUGUCAAGUGGGAAGAACAGCUUUAGGGCUAAUAUCCUUAAGGUCUGACGGUACCACUGAAGGAAGCACCGGCUAACUCCGUGCCAGCAGCCGCGGUAAGACGGAGGGUGCAAGCGUUAUUCGGAUUUAUUGGGCGUAAAGAGCGUGUAGGCGGCCGGUCAAGCCAGAUGUGAAAGCCCAGGGCUUAACCCUGGAAGUGCAUUUGGAACUGGUUGGCUUGAGUUCGGGAGAGGGAAGUGGAAUUCCGGGUGUAGAGGUGAAAUUCGUAGAUAUCCGGAGGAACACCGGUGGCGAAGGCGACUUCCUGGACCGAAACUGACGCUGAGACGCGAAAGCGUGGGGAGCAAACAGGAUUAGAAACCCUGGUAGUCC